Molecule: ribosomal RNA, 274 nt
Filed under: uncultured bacterium
Lineage: Bacteria
Description: partial 16S ribosomal RNA
Rfam family: Bacterial small subunit ribosomal RNA
Source: RNAcentral
AUACGUAGGAUCCGAGCGUUGUCCGGAUUUACUGGGCGUAAAGGGCGAGUAGGCGGCUCGUUAAGUCUCAUGUGAAAUCUCCCGGCUCAACUGGGAGGGGUCAUGGGAAACUGACAAGCUUGAGGGCAGCAGAGGGAAGCGGAAUUCCCGGAGUAGUGGUGAAAUGCGUAGAUACCGGGAGGAACACCAGUGGCGAAGGCGGCUUCCUGGGCUGUUCCUGACGCUGAGGCGCGAAAGCGUGGGGAGCAAACCGGAUUAGAUACCCGAGUAGUCC